Molecule: long non-coding RNA, 440 nt
Filed under: Equus caballus (horse)
Lineage: Eukaryota; Metazoa; Chordata; Mammalia; Perissodactyla; Equidae
Description: lncRNA (ENSECAG00000055734.1)
Source: RNAcentral
CAGGGUCCGGGGUUUCCCUCCAGCCUCACACAGCGGAUCCUGUGACACACCCGACAAAGAAAGGAACCUUAGCGUGGCCAGGAGUCCAGGAAAAUACGGUGGGGGUCCUCGAGGACCACCCCAAGAAGCUUCAGACUUGGUUCUGCUGUGAUGUCAGGAAGCCGAUGGACGCCUGCGGCUGCUUGUUGCUGUUGUCACUGCAGGGGCCGGGGCGCUAGAAGAGAGGAAGUUUGUGCCCCAGAGAGGAGCCAAAUGAGCACCCCGAACAGAGAGACGGCAGGGGCAGACUUCCAGAGUCAGGAUGGACCUCACGAUGCUGGAGUCCAGAGGGAGGCAGAAGAGAGGGACAGAGACUUCUGAAGUCUCCCUCGAGCUCGCCUCCUCUCCGGAGGGACCUUUGCUUCCAGAAUGGAGCCGUUCGGUCUAUUUUUGCAGUAGAG